AAAAAAAAGAGGCAGAAGCAUCAAAUGAAGGACUGUUUGAAUUGGAAAACUAAUGAGUAUUUCAGGUUAUUCAAAUCCACACUUAAUCUAACACUGGAAGCCGUUCCAGCAGCAGCAGCACCUUGAGGAGGACAUCGGGAGGAGUGCUCAAACAUAAGAUUGAAGUCUGCCAAACAUGAUGUCCACCAAAUUUUUACUGCUAAAAAGUUGAGGUCACCCAAUGAGAAAUACAGAGACAGUAAGAUGAUCAAAAUACCUCAGGAGAAGAAUGAAUGAACAAUUUGAAAAAAAAAAAAAAAAGGGAGAAAAGCACUGUGCACUCCAACAACAGCAUCUUAAGUGCAAAACAUCAUUGUACAGAACUUUAUUACGAAGUGAUAAAUCAGCACGCUGAGGCUUCAUUAACUUCAGUGGAACCAGACUGAUUUAUGCCAGCUGAGUCAAUGGCUGCGUUUAUAUGUCUGCAUACGUCAAAAUUAAUCAUGUUUGGAAAAAUAGAAGAUUCUAGGAAUAUAUCCCAGAGGAGAAGAUAUAUAUACUUAUUUAUAAAUUCUACUAAUAAGGUGAUACUUAGCAGGCCUUUCUACAGGACUCUGAAUGACACAGCUGUCCUGAGGUGAACUUCUGCCCUCCUGCAUGGCAAGAAACAGAUAUGCACGUCCUCUGUCAGCACUCUCCAUCUCCAGCAUUCAGACUCCUGCAACCUUCCCACUGGUCCACAUCCUCACGCAGUCUUCCCAGUCCUCUGCAGCAGGCAGCUCCACAAAGGGUCUCACCUCGUCAACAGCCAUUUCUUAGGAGUGUGAGAUUAGCAGAGCGGCAGCUGAAACAAAAGCUACCUGUUAAACACACUGAGGGUCAACUACAGGAGGAUGAUGCUAGAUGCUUCAAAAACAAGGCCUCAAGGUACACAGAAUAGAUGCAGAUUAUUAUUAAGAGUGACUGCAGCCCCGGUUUUCCUAAACCUCAGCUCUAGUGUCUAAAUCUGUCUUCCC
Molecule: long non-coding RNA, 995 nt
Filed under: Gallus gallus (chicken)
Lineage: Eukaryota; Metazoa; Chordata; Aves; Galliformes; Phasianidae
Description: long non-coding RNA NONGGAT008353
Source: RNAcentral